Molecule: non-coding RNA, 45 nt
Filed under: Schistosoma mansoni
Lineage: Eukaryota; Metazoa; Platyhelminthes; Trematoda; Strigeidida; Schistosomatidae
Source: RNAcentral
AUCCAGCUGAUGAGUCCCAAAUAGGUCGAAACGUGCUUGUUGGAU